RNAcentral lists this transfer RNA (73 nucleotides) under Ixodes scapularis (black-legged tick). It matches the Rfam family "tRNA". Rfam says of the family: Transfer RNA (tRNA) molecules are approximately 80 nucleotides in length. Their secondary structure includes four short double-helical elements and three loops (D, anti-codon, and T loops). Further hydrogen bonds mediate the characteristic L-shaped molecular structure. tRNAs have two regions of fundamental functional importance: the anti-codon, which is responsible for specific mRNA codon recognition, and the 3' end, to which the tRNAs corresponding amino acid is attached (by aminoacyl-tRNA synthetases). tRNAs cope with the degeneracy of the genetic code in two manners: having more than one tRNA (with a specific anti-codon) for a particular amino acid; and 'wobble' base-pairing, i.e. permitting non-standard base-pairing at the 3rd anti-codon position. The record is from Rfam by way of RNAcentral. Lineage: Eukaryota; Metazoa; Arthropoda; Arachnida; Ixodida; Ixodidae.
UCCUGGGUAGCUCGGUUGGUAUAGUGCUCCACUGGAAAUGGAGAGGUGCCUGGUUGGAUACCAGGAUCAGGCG